GAUGAACGCUGGCGGCGUGCCUAAUACAUGCAAGUCGAGCGAACAGACGAGGAGCUUGCUCCUCUGACGUUAGCGGCGGACGGGUGAGUAACACGUGGAUAACCUACCUAUAAGACUGGGAUAACUUCGGGAAACCGGAGCUAAUACCGGAUAAUAUAUUGAACCGCAUGGUUCAAUAGUGAAAGACGGUUUUGCUGUCACUUAUAGAUGGAUCCGCGCCGCAUUAGCUAGUUGGUAAGGUAACGGCUUACCAAGGCAACGAUGCGUAGCCGACCUGAGAGGAUGAUAGGCCACACUAGAACUGAGACACGGUCCAGACUCCUACGGGAGGCAGCAGUAGGGAAUCUUCCGCAAAGGGCGAAAGCCUGACGGAGCAACGCCGCGUGAGUGAUGAAGGUCUUCGGAUCGUAAAACUCUGUUAUUAGGGAAGAACAAAUGUGUAAGUAACUAUGCACGUCUUGACGGUACCUAAUCAGAAAGCCACGGCUAACUACGUG
RNAcentral lists this ribosomal RNA (497 nucleotides) under uncultured bacterium. Its description in RNAcentral is "partial 16S ribosomal RNA". It matches the Rfam family "Bacterial small subunit ribosomal RNA", at positions 28 to 507 of the family's 1533-position model. The record is from RNAcentral.